GGAAGCAAAAUCUAAUGCUUUGAAUAACAUAGAUUUUACUGCCAGGCAUUCUAGUGCCAGACAUAAUCUGGAAACUACUAGUUUUAAGCCUGACAUUAUUAAAUUUUUCAAUGAAAAUCUACAUGAGGUUCCCAAGUCCAUGAACCAAAGGUCUAUGAAUGUACGAUCAAGAGUUGUCGACUCAUUGGAGUUGAUAGAUCAAGAUUAUGUUAUUGUUUCUAGCCCCCCUCUGGAUGUGUCUUCUUCUUCAGCAAGUACUUCCAAACCAAGAAGUAUACCAUACAAA
RNAcentral lists this unclassified non-coding RNA (286 nucleotides) under Hevea brasiliensis (rubber tree). Lineage: Eukaryota; Viridiplantae; Streptophyta; Magnoliopsida; Malpighiales; Euphorbiaceae. The record is from RNAcentral.